Molecule: ribosomal RNA, 1026 nt
Filed under: Peptoniphilus sp. S8 86-6
Lineage: Bacteria; Bacillati; Bacillota; Tissierellia; Tissierellales; Peptoniphilaceae
Description: bacterial SSU rRNA
Rfam family: Bacterial small subunit ribosomal RNA
Source: RNAcentral
UUUAACAGAUCCUUUCGGGGAGAAGAUAAGAUGGAUUAGCGGCGGACGGGUGAGUAACACGUGAGUAACCUGCCUUUGACACAGGGAUAGCCUCGGGAAACCGGGAUUAAUACCAGAUAACAUUAUCAGAUCGCAUGAGAAGAUAAUCAAAGCUGAGGCGGUCAAAGAUGGACUCGCGUCCCAUUAGCUAGUUGGUAGAGUAACAGCCUACCAAGGCAACGAUGGGUAGCCGGCCUGAGAGGGUGAACGGCCACAUUGGAACUGAGAAACGGUCCAAACUCCUACGGGAGGCAGCAGUGGGGAAUAUUGCACAAUGGGGGAAACCCUGAUGCAGCGACGCCGCGUGAGCGAAGAAGGUUUUCGAAUCGUAAAGCUCUGUCCUAUGGGAAGAUAAUGACGGUACCAUAGGAGGAAGCCCCGGCUAACUACGUGCCAGCAGCCGCGGUAAUACGUAGGGGGCAAGCGUUGUCCGGAAUCACUGGGCGUAAAGGGUUCGCAGGCGGAAAUGCAAGUCAGUUGUGAAAGGCAGAGGCUCAACCUCUGUAAGCAAUUGAAACUGUAUUUCUUGAGAUGUGGAGAGGCAAGUGGAAUUCCUAGUGUAGCGGUGAAAUGCGUAGAUAUUAGGAAGAAUACCGGUGGCGAAGGCGACUUGCUGGACACAAACUGACGCUGAGGAACGAAAGCGUGGGUAGCAAACAGGAUUAGAUACCCUGGUAGUCCACGCCGUAAACGAUGAGUGCUAGGUGUCGGGGGAGACCUCGGUGCCGCAGUAAACACAAUAAGCACUCCGCCUGGGGAGUACGUGCGCAAGCAUGAAACUCAAAGGAAUUGACGGGGACCCGCACAAGCAGCGGAGCAUGUGGUUUAAUUCGAAGCAACGCGAAGAACCUUACCAGGGCUUGACAUACUGAGGACGUACUUAGAGAUAAGUAUUCUUCUUCGGAAGCCUCAAUACAGGUGGUGCAUGGUUGUCGUCAGCUCGUGUCGUGAGAUGUUGGGUUAAGUCCCGCAACGAGCGCAACCCUU